AAGCUGCACACCUGGCUGCUGAGAACAAGGCAGGAAAUGGUACAAGCUUUACAUUUUUAGAUUCAUUCUUCAUCUAAUGUAGUGUUCCUAAACUCUUACUAUGAGUAAAGGAAAAAUAUCCUUAUCCUGCACCAAAUCCCAAGAAAUCUGCUCUUUGAAAGAUACUUUCUUUGAAUUUUAGUGGAGAGAAUCAUCUUCCAUUGCUUAACAUUGAAGACAAAGAAGUCCUUUGGGGUGAGUUACACCGUUUUACAGAGGGAAGGCAGAGUUGUGGUGACAAGUUCCAUGUGAUAUCUGCAUCCUGCCUGCUCCAGGUGACACCUUAGAUUUGAAUACCAUUAAGGUCAUACUUCAAUCCAGUAGAGGCUUGGAUCUCCGUUUUCAUCUCUCUGACUUCUUAUAAAGCAAGCCACUGUGACAUGUGCCUUUGCACAAAUCCAUGAAGUUAAGAGGAGGAUCUCUGUGAAGGCUUCAGAUUUAAGCGCCGCAGAGGGGAGGCAGGAGAUGG
This is a long non-coding RNA of Lepidothrix coronata (blue-crowned manakin), 508 nucleotides long. RefSeq lists it as uncharacterized. NCBI's taxonomy places the organism in Eukaryota, Metazoa, Chordata, Aves, Passeriformes, Pipridae. The record is from RefSeq and is a predicted model, not a curated record. The transcript is spliced from 4 exons.